Molecule: ribosomal RNA, 468 nt
Filed under: uncultured bacterium
Lineage: Bacteria
Description: partial 16S ribosomal RNA
Rfam family: Bacterial small subunit ribosomal RNA
Source: RNAcentral
GACGAACGCUGGCGGCGUGCUUAACACAUGCAAGUCGAACGGAAAGGCCCUGCUUUUGUUGGGUGCUCGAGUGGCGAACGGGUGAGUAACACGUGAGUAACCUGCCCUUGACUUUGGGAUAACUUCAGGAAACUGCGGCUAAUACCGGAUAUGAUCUCCUGCUGCAUGUUGUGGGUUGGAAAGUUUCGGCGGUUGUGGAUGGACUCGCUGCUUAUCAGCUUGUUUGGGGGGUAGUUGCUUACCAAGGCUUUGACGGCUAGCCGGCCUGAGAGGGUGACCGGCCACAAGGGGACUGAGAUACGGACCAGAAUCCUAAGGGAGGCAGCAGUGGGGAAUAUUGCACAAUGGGCGGAAGCCUGAUGCAGAAACGCCGCGUGCGGGAUGACGGCCUUCGGGUGGUAAACCGAUUUCGAAUGUGACGAAGAGUGAGUGACGGUAAUGGGUAAAGAAGCACCGGCUAACUACGUG